This is a long non-coding RNA of Zea mays, 597 nucleotides long. RefSeq lists it as uncharacterized. Lineage: Eukaryota; Viridiplantae; Streptophyta; Magnoliopsida; Poales; Poaceae. The transcript is spliced from 2 exons. The record is from RefSeq and is a predicted model, not a curated record.
CCUAGCGCAGUGACCACCUGCACAUUCCGCAUGCCGGGCGCGCGCAUGCCGGCGCGAUCGGGAUCCUCGGGGUUUCCGUGUGGUAUGCCGUUCAUGGGCUGUCGGUCAUCUCGCGGACUCAGGGAUGAUAUAAGCUCAUGCGCCCCAUCGUCCGAGGACGGUUUUGCCUAACGCCAGGAACUAGAGCAGGGGAGGGUUGUGCCGCUGCGCGAUUCAUCAUUCACAGGGACGAUUGGCGAACAGGGGAGUGUGCGCGGGAGAAGUGGGUAACGAGUCGAGGAAGCCAUGGGAACCGGGAAGCCGGAUUUGACCGAGAAUUUCUCAUCGGAAUUCAGCGUCGCCGCGGACUCGUUUCGGCGGAUCGACGAGCACCUCACCACUUCUAUUAUGGAGAAGAACAAGGCGUCCAUUAGGAGCCGUACAACGAGGAGUAUGAUUUGAUCUAGGUGGCGUCUCUCAGUCAGCUUUAUGGUGCCUUGGAUGGACUCUUAGUUCGUUUUAUAUUUAUAAUUUAUUUUUGUAACAAUUCCGCUAUGUAAUAAUCACUUUCAUGAUAUUGUGACAUUUGUCUCUAUACACUCUGUUAUUAUAUGUGUU